This 492-nucleotide ribosomal RNA is filed under the name uncultured bacterium. Its description in RNAcentral is "partial 16S ribosomal RNA". It matches the Rfam family "Bacterial small subunit ribosomal RNA", at positions 28 to 507 of the family's 1533-position model. The record is from RNAcentral.
GAUGAACGCUAGCUACAGGCUUAACACAUGCAAGUCGAGGGGAAACGGCAUUAAGUGCUUGCACUUUUUGGACGUCGACCGGCGCACGGGUGAGUAACGCGUAUCCAACCUUCCCAUGACUAAGGGAUAACCUGCCGAAAGGCAGACUAAUACCUUAUGGUCUUCACUGACGGCAUCAGAUGUGAAGUAAAGAUUUAUCGGUUAUGGAUGGGGAUGCGUCUGAUUAGCUUGUUGGCGGGGUAACGGCCCACCAAGGCAACGAUCAGUAGGGGUUCUGAGAGGAAGGUCCCCCACAUUGGAACUGAGGCACGGUCCAAACUCCUACGGGAGGCAGCAGUGAGGAAUAUUGGUCAAUGGGCGAGAGCCUGAACCAGCCAAGUAGCGUGCAGGAUGACGGCCCUAUGGGUUGUAAACUGCUUUUGUAUGGGGAUAAAGUCAAUCACGUGUGAUUGUUUGCAGGUACCAUACGAAUAAGGACCGGCUAAUUCCGUG